Molecule: ribosomal RNA, 447 nt
Filed under: uncultured bacterium
Lineage: Bacteria
Description: bacterial SSU rRNA
Rfam family: Bacterial small subunit ribosomal RNA
Source: RNAcentral
CCCAGACUCCUACGGGAGGCAGCAGUGGGGAAUAUUGCACAAUGGGGGAAACCCUGAUGCAGCGACGCCGCGUGAGUGAAGAAGUAUUUCGGUAUGUAAAGCUCUCUCAGCAGGGAAGAUAAUGACGGUACCUGACUAAGAAGCCCCGGCUAACUACGUGCCAGCAGCCGCGGUAAUACGUAGGGGGCAAGCGUUAUCCGGAUUUACUGGGUGUAAAGGGUGCGCAGGUGGCAGGGCAAGUCAGAUGUGAAAGCCCGGGGCUCAACCCCGGUAUUGCAUUUGAAACUGUCCGGCUAGAGUGCAGGAGAGGUAAGCGGAAUUCCUAGUGUAGCGGUGAAAUGCGUAGAUAUUAGGAGGAACACCAGUGGCGAAGGCGGCUUACUGGACUGUAACUGACACUGAGGCACGAAAGCGUGGGGAGCAAACAGGACUAGAUACCCCUGUACA